This 510-nucleotide ribosomal RNA is filed under the name uncultured bacterium. RNAcentral describes it as "partial 16S ribosomal RNA". It matches the Rfam family "Bacterial small subunit ribosomal RNA", at positions 28 to 507 of the family's 1533-position model. The record is from RNAcentral.
GACGAACGCUGGCGGCGUGCUUAACACAAGCAAGUCGAACGAAGAGCGAUGGAAGCUUGCUUCUAUCAAUCUUAGUGGCGAACGGGUGAGUAACGCGUAAUCAACCUGCCCUUCAGAGGGGGACAACAGUUGGAAACGACUGCUAAUACCGCAUACGAUCUAAUCUCGGCAUCGAGGAUAGAUGAAAGGUGGCCUCUACAUGUAAGCUAUCACUGAAGGAGGGGAUUGCGUCUGAUUAGCUAGUUGGAGGGGUAACGGCCCACCAAGGCGAUGAUCAGUAGCCGGUCUGAGAGGAUGAACGGCCACAUUGGGACUGAGACACGGCCCAGACUCCUACGGGAGGCAGCAGUGGGGAAUCUUCCGCAAUGGACGAAAGUCUGACGGAGCAACGCCGCGUGAGUGAUGACGGCCUUCGGGUUGUAAAGCUCUGUUAAUCGGGACGAAAGGCCUUCUUGCGAACAGUUAGAAGGAUUGACGGUACCGGAAGAGAAAGCCACGGCUAACUACGUG